AUUGAACGCUGGCGGCAUGCUUUACACAUGCAAGUCGAACGGCAGCGGGGAGGAGCUUGCUUCUCUGCCGGCGAGUGGCGAACGGGUGAGUAAUACAUCGGAACGUGUCGAGAAGAGGGGGAUAACCACCCGAAAGGGUGGCUAAUACCGCAUAAAUUCUGAGGAAGAAAGCUGGGGACCUAGGAAUAGGCCUAGCGCUUUUUGAGCGGCCGAUGUCGGAUUAGCUAGUUGGUGAGGUAAAGGCUCACCAAGGCGAAGAUCUGUAGCGGGUCUGAGAGGAUGAUCCGCCACACUGGGACUGAGACACGGCCCAGACUCCUACGGGAGGCAGCAGUGGGGAAUUGUGGACAAUGGGGGCAACCCUGAUCCAGCCAUGCCGCGUGUAUGAAGAAGGCCUUAGGUUUGUAAAGUACUUUUGUUAGGGAAGAAAAGUCAGCUGUGAAUAAUGGCUGAUACUGACGGUACCUAAAGAAUAAGCACCGGCUAACUACGUG
Molecule: ribosomal RNA, 494 nt
Filed under: uncultured bacterium
Lineage: Bacteria
Description: partial 16S ribosomal RNA
Rfam family: Bacterial small subunit ribosomal RNA
Source: RNAcentral